AUUGAACGCUGGCGGCAUGCCUUACACAUGCAAGUCGAACGGCAGCGCGGACUUCGGUCUGGCGGCGAGUGCGAACGGGUGAGUAAUACAUCGGAACGUACCCUGUUGUGGGGGAUAACUAGUCGAAAGAUUAGCUAAUACCGCAUACGACCUGAGGGUGAAAGUGGGGGACCGCAAGGCCUCACGCAACAGGAGCGGCCGAUGUCUGAUUAGCUAGUUGGUGGGGUAAAGGCCCACCAAGGCGACGAUCAGUAGCUGGUCUGAGAGGACGAUCAGCCACACUGGGACUGAGACACGGCCCAGACUCCUACGGGAGGCAGCAGUGGGGAAUUUUGGACAAUGGGGGCAACCCUGAUCCAGCAAUGCCGCGUGUGUGAAGAAGGCCUUCGGGUUGUAAAGCACUUUUGUCCGGAAAGAAAUCGCGCUGGUUAAUACCUGGCGUGGAUGACGGUACCGGAAGAAUAAGCACCGGCCAACUACGUGCCAGCCGCCGCGGUAA
This 499-nucleotide ribosomal RNA is filed under the name uncultured bacterium. RNAcentral's name for it is "partial 16S ribosomal RNA". It matches the Rfam family "Bacterial small subunit ribosomal RNA", at positions 30 to 523 of the family's 1533-position model. The record is from RNAcentral.